RNAcentral lists this unclassified non-coding RNA (2497 nucleotides) under Portunus trituberculatus (swimming crab). RNAcentral describes it as "dipeptidase 1-like, transcript variant X1". The record is from RNAcentral. Lineage: Eukaryota; Metazoa; Arthropoda; Malacostraca; Decapoda; Portunidae.
CCUGCCGUGGCCGAGGGAAGGUGUUGGUGCCGGUGCUCCGAGUCAGUGGGCUGCAGUGCUCGGUGGAGGGAGGUCCCGGCGCGGUUGUCUCUUGGUAUUUGCUAGAAGGAAGAGUUCGCGUUUGGAUUGUUUUUACGUACGAGAAAUCCGUGUUAAGGUAGCGGUGGUGUUGCAUUGCGUGGUGUUGCGGGCCGCGCAGAGAGGGUGUCGAGGCGCGGCGAGGUGUGGGCAUCCUCAGGGGGUGGUGAGGAAACUCGUGUUAGUGAUUGAUGACCCAAAGUGUUGCGUGUGCGAUAGUCGAGGCGCCGCAGACACGCAGUAGGAGAGGCUGGGCGUGCUGAUGAGCGUGUGGGUGGUGUGUGUCUUGGCCGCCGCGCGUCCAUGGUGAUAAGACGGCGCCGCGCUGCUCGCCUCGACGACGAGCGCAGUUGACGGCUUGUGCGGGCGGCGAGGCGGAGGCAGCAAGCAGGGCGGCGUCAGCAGGAGGCAUGGAGCUGGUGACGGGGCGGGGCGGGGCGCGGCGUGGACGGGCGGUGGUGGGGCUGGAUGUGGUGAGCCACACGCUGCCCCGCUCUUACCGCGCCCCCGCCAGCCGCCCCUGCUGCCCGCCGCCCGCCACCCCGCCACCCGUCCAGCCCAGGGACGACAUGUGCAGCGAGCCAGGCUGCCCCGGCUGCCACCCCGACCUGUGCUCCGGGGACCCCAACCUCCACUGUAGCGCCUUCUCGCCCUACUCCGCCCACCAGCGCCCCGCGACGCCUCCUGGGGACUGGGGGGAGGAAGAUGUGGGGGAAUGCCUCUCCUGUAGUUACGCGGCGCCGCCCCCCUGUGCCUGCCCCGACCCCAGCUGCCGGGGCACCAGCGAGCCGCCCCCGCCCUGCCCUUGGGACUACUGCCCGCCCCGCCAGGAGGCCCCGGUCCACUCCCACGCCGCCCACGAGGUUCACCCCACCCAUGACCUGUACAGGGGGCGGGCCUCCUCAGACUGUUCGCAGCUCCCAAAGUUACUGAGCUUGGAGGAGAGACUCAGCACCGCCCUGGGUCGCCCGCCGGACACCCACACCCACGCCCACGCCCACCCUUGCAACAACUCCCGCCUCAGCCUCAGCAGUUACACGCACCACGCUCCCCCAUACGCCCAUCACAACCACGUCUACGCCCACGAGGUUCCUCCGGCGGGGUCACGUCUCAGCAGGAGCCUAGAGGACCUGCCUAAGGACAUCAAGGACCAUAUCCUGCGCUGCCAGUGUUCCUGUGACCACAUGGGAUACGGGAACUAUUCGAGCACCUCACUGCACCGCAUCCCUGGACUCAGCAACGGGUGUUCCUCGCUCAGCACCAAGAACAGCAGCCGCGAGGACGUGUCUCAGGACCUCACGCAGCUCAGCGACUCACACAAAGCUGGAUGGCUAGGGUUGGAGGUGCCAGCUCAUGUGUGGGGUGGCGUGUGUCUGGUGCUGGUGCUGGCGGGCGUGGCGGGCGUGGGCGUGUCCGUGCCCCUCACCCUGCGUGCUGACCCCAAUGCUGACCAGCUGGAGAGGUUCAGCGCCGCCGUGGAGCUGCUGAGGGACGCACCGCUUAUUGAUGGGCACAAUGAUCUGCCGUGGAACAUCAGAAAGUUCAUGCACAACAAACUUCACAGCUUCAACUUCACAGCGGAACUCCAGCAACUGAGGCCGUGGUCACGCUCCUCCUGGUCCCACACUGAUCUGCCCAGGCUGCGGCGGGGCAUGGUAGGGGCGCAGUUCUGGGUGAGUUACGUGCCGUGUGAGGCCCAGCGUUUGAAUGCCGUGCAGCUCACCAUAGAACAGAUCGACCUCAUCAAACGCCUCAUUGAGCAGUACCCAGAGGACCUGCGUUUGGCCACCUCUGCUGACGAAGUGGAGGCGGCCUUCAGGGAGGGGCGCAUUGCCAGCCUGAUCGGAGUGGAGGGCGGCCACGCUAUUCAAAACUCCUUGGGCGUGCUGAGGUCACUGAGGGACUUGGGCGUGCGCUACCUCACCCUCACCCACACCUGCAGCACGCCCUGGGCCGAGUGUGCACGUGCAAGAGAGGACGACCCCGAGGACCCCAAUUCACCAAGGGGACUCACGCACUUCGGCAGAACAGUGGUAAGGGAGAUGAACCGCCUGGGCCUGCUGGUGGACCUAUCCCACGUGUCGCAGGCCACCAUGAGGGAGGCCCUGGAGGUGUCACGCGCCCCUGUCAUCUUCAGUCACUCCUCCGUCUACGCCAUCUGCAGGAAUCCAAGAAAUGUGCCUGACGAUAUUCUGGAGCGCGUGAUCACAUUAAUCACGUGAGGAAAGUGGCGGGAGUACAACACGUGGGCAUUGGUGCUGACUUCGAUGGUGUGAACAAGCUGCCAGCGGGUUUGGAGGACGUGUCUCGGUACCCGCACCUCUUCGCCGAGCUGAUGAGUGACCCCUCGUGGACCAUUGAGGACCUGAAGAAGCUGGCGGGACAGAACCUACUGAGAGUGAUGCGGGAUGUCGAGAAG